Molecule: ribosomal RNA, 274 nt
Filed under: uncultured bacterium
Lineage: Bacteria
Description: partial 16S ribosomal RNA
Rfam family: Bacterial small subunit ribosomal RNA
Source: RNAcentral
AUACGGAGGGGGUUAGCGUUGUUCGGAAUUACUGGGCGUAAAGCGCACGUAGGCGGACUGGAAAGUUGGGGGAGAAAUCCCGGGGCUCAACCCCGGAACUGCCUCCAAAACUUCCAAUCUAGAGAUCGAGAGAGGUGAGUGGAAUUCCAAGUGUAGAGGUGAAAUUCGUAGAUAUUUGGAGGAACACCAGUGGCGAAGGCGGCUCACUGGCUCGAUACUGACGCUGAGGUGCGAAAGCGUGGGGAGCAAACAGGAUUAGAUACCCCAGUAGUCC